This is a long non-coding RNA of Lynx canadensis (Canada lynx), 599 nucleotides long. RefSeq lists it as uncharacterized. The transcript is spliced from 3 exons. NCBI's taxonomy places the organism in Eukaryota, Metazoa, Chordata, Mammalia, Carnivora, Felidae. The record is from RefSeq and is a predicted model, not a curated record.
AGAGUCAGACACUUAACCGACUGAACCACCCAGGAGCUAUAAUGCGCUUCUUCAAGUCUGCCUCGGUGGUUUCUAAUUCUGGAGACGUGCACAGUAGAAUGGUCUCCCACAAUCCUUUCAGAAAGAACAGGAAAGCCCUUCUGUAUUCUUCUUCUGUAAAGAAGACACCAGCCUAUCUCCUCAUAAUUCUGAGAUUCAUAUGUCAAAGUCAAGACUGCUGUCCUUGUACGAAGUAGAAAUUUGGAUGCUGACAUGCACAGAGGAAACAUUGUGAGGACACAGGCAGAAGACGGCCAUCUACAAGCCAAAGAGAGAGACCUCAGAUGAAACCCACCCUCCAACACCUGAUCUUGGACUUCUAGACGCCAGAACUAUGAGAAAGCAAAUUUCUGUUGUUUAAGCCCCCUGGUCCGUGGUAUUUUGUUAUGACAGCCCCAGGAAAGGUUUACAGUACCCUUAAAAGACUGUUACGGGGUGCGCUUUUAGGGAACUGGCGUCUAAAGGCUGUGCUUUCUAAAUCUGAUUCAUUCUUACCCCGCAGGGGUGCAUUCUCUCCACCAGGAGAGAUGCUGCCAGGAACAGGCUUUCUCAGGUGCAAC